UACGUAGGGUGCAAGCGUUGUUCGGAUUUACUGGGCGUAAAGAGCUCGUAGGCGGUUUGUCGAGUCUGCUGUGAAAACUGGAGGCUCAACCUACAGCCUGCAGUGGGUACGGGCAGACUAGAGUGCGGUAGGGGAGAUUGGAAUUCCUGGUGUAGCGGUGGAAUGCGCAGAUAUCAGGAGGAACACCGAUGGCGAAGGCAGAUCUCUGGGCCGUAACUGACGCUGAGGAGCGAAAGCAUGGGGAGCGAACAGG
Molecule: ribosomal RNA, 253 nt
Filed under: uncultured bacterium
Lineage: Bacteria
Description: partial 16S ribosomal RNA
Rfam family: Bacterial small subunit ribosomal RNA
Source: RNAcentral